RNAcentral lists this ribosomal RNA (253 nucleotides) under uncultured bacterium. RNAcentral's name for it is "partial 16S ribosomal RNA". It matches the Rfam family "Bacterial small subunit ribosomal RNA", at positions 524 to 776 of the family's 1533-position model. The record is from RNAcentral.
UACGUAGGGGGCAAGCGUUGUCCGGAUUCAUUGGGCGUAAAGAGCGUGUAGGCGGCCAGGUAGGUCGGUUGUGAAAACUGGAGGCUCAACCUUCAGAGGUCGACCGAAACCAUCUGGCUAGAGUCCGGGAGAGGGAUGUGGAAUUCCAGGUGUAGCGGUGAAAUGCGUAGAUAUCUGGAGGAACACCGGUGGCGAAGGCGGUAUCCUGGACCGGUAUUGACGCUGAGGCGCGAAAGCCAGGGGAGCAAACGGG